RNAcentral lists this ribosomal RNA (490 nucleotides) under uncultured bacterium. RNAcentral's name for it is "partial 16S ribosomal RNA". It matches the Rfam family "Bacterial small subunit ribosomal RNA", at positions 30 to 507 of the family's 1533-position model. The record is from RNAcentral.
AUUGAACGCUGGCGGCAGGCCUAACACAUGCAAGUCGAACGGUAACAGGAAGCAGCUUGCUGCUUUGCUGACGAGUGGCGGACGGGUGAGUAAUGUCUGGGAAACUGCCUGAUGGAGGGGGAUAACUACUGGAAACGGUAGCUAAUACCGCAUAACGUCGCAAGACCAAAGGGGGGGGCCUUCGGGCCUCUUGCCAUCGGAUGUGCCCAGAUGGGAUUAGCUAGUAGGUGGGGUAACGGCCCACCUAGGCGACGAUCCCUAGCUGGUCUGAGAGGAUGACCAGCCACACUGGAACUGAGACACGGUCCAGACUCCUACGGGAGGCAGCAGUGGGGAAUAUUGCACAAUGGGCGCAAGCCUGAUGCAGCCAUGCCGCGUGUAUGAAGAAGGCCUUCGGGUUGUAAAGUACUUUCAGCGGGGAGGAAGGGAGUAAAGUUAAUACCUUUGCUCAUUGACGUUACCCGCAGAAGAAGCACCGGCUAACUCCGUG